UUCUUGUGGGUAAACUGCACCAAUGUGGGAUU
RNAcentral lists this non-coding RNA (32 nucleotides) under Mus musculus (house mouse). The record is from RNAcentral. Lineage: Eukaryota; Metazoa; Chordata; Mammalia; Rodentia; Muridae.